UAGUUGGUGGGGUAAAGGCCUACCAGGGCGACGAUCAGUAGCGGGUCUGAGAGGAUGAUCCGUCACACUGGAACUGAGACACGGUCCAGACUCCUACGGGAGGCAGCAGUGGGGAAUUUUGGACAAUGGGGGCAACCCUGAUCCAGCCAUUCCGCGUGAGUGAAGAAGGCCUUCGGGUUGUAAAGCUCUUUCAGCCGGAACGAAACGGUACGCCUUAAUACGGUGUGCUAAUGACGGUACCGGCAGAAGAAGCACCGGCUAACUACGUGCCAGCAGCCGCGGUAAUACGUAGGGUGCGAGCGUUAAUCGGAAUUACUGGGCGUAAAGCGUGCGCAGGCGGAUUGUUAAGCAAGAUGUGAAAUCCCCGGGCUUAACCUGGGAAUGGCAUUUUGAACUGGCAGUCUAGAGUGUGUCAGAGGGGGGUGGAAUUCCACGUGUAGCAGUGAAAUGCGUAGAUAUGUGGAGGAACACCAAUGGCGAAGGCAGCCCCCUGGGAUAACACUGACGCUCAUGUACGAAAGCGUGGGUAGCAAACAGGAUUAGAUACCCUGGUAGUCCACGCCCUAAACGAUGUCAACUGGUUGUUGGGGGAGUGAAAUCCCUUAGUAACGAAGCUAACGCGUGAAGUUGACCGCCUGGGGAGUACGGUCGCAAGAUUAAAACUCAAAGGAAUUGACGGGGACCCGCACAAGCGGUGGAUGAUGUGGAUUAAUUCGAUGCAACGCGAAAAACCUUACCUACCCUUGACAUGUCCAGAAUCCUGCAGAGAUGCGGGAGUGCCCGAAAGGGAAUUGGAACACAGGUGCUGCAUGGCUGUCGUCAGCUCGUGUCGUGAGAUGUUGGGUUAAGUCCCGCAACGAGCGCAACCCUUAUCAUUAGUUGCUACGCAAGGGCACUCUAAUGAGACUGCCGG
Molecule: ribosomal RNA, 913 nt
Filed under: uncultured bacterium
Lineage: Bacteria
Description: bacterial SSU rRNA
Rfam family: Bacterial small subunit ribosomal RNA
Source: RNAcentral